CAGGCGGCUCAAUAGACGGGCUGCGACAGACGUUCUCAGUUAUAAUUAAAGUCAAACACGAAACCAUCAGUUUAUAUUUUUGUCGAUGCUUCUGCUAUAAUAAAACAUGUGGUCACCAUUCAUAGUCAUGCCAUGGAUGAAGUAGUACCUGGAUCGGCAACUCCUCGAUGUUUGUGACCACCGCUAGGUGGCAGUGGUGUCGAGCGCUAAGGACGCGGGGGAGCGGGUGCUAUUCAAAACAAUGGUCGGCGUCGCGUCGUAGGAUCGUUUGCCUUGUUUUUUGAAAAGUUAAGCCCCUUUGGAGCAGAUUGGAAGGUUUCAGAAGAUGGAGGAAGAUGGCAAGAUCAAAGAGAUGGGUUCAGUUUCCACGGUGUGCUGACUUGAAUUGGCAUCCUGUGAUUUGUGAUGUGAAUUAUGAUGCACGCACUCGCAGGUGCACGCCCACUGCGGACACGUGUGACGUGACGGCAGCAGGCAGCCGGGGUGUGAACUGUGAACUGGCUCGGCCGAAAAUGUUUAAGGUAUUACAGCGUUUGUAACUGACUAACAUACCCACUACGGGCAUACCCAUUGAGCGGAUAAUGCGUUCGUGUGCAUCGUGUUUGCAUUUAUUCCCGAUAUACUCUGGUGGUAGGUGUGAAUUGGAAACCAGCUUGGUGCUACGACACCGUUUAGUAGGCAUGUGGCACGUCGUUUCUCGAAACCUACCUAUCAGUCUAUGCAAUAAUAUGCAUUGUAUACAUUGUGUGUCAUCGUUCACCUUAGUUGUCAUUGAACCUGUGUUAAAUUCUGAACUUCAGGCCGAGACAGACUAUUUCCACAGUCAGGAAAU
Long non-coding RNA from Amphibalanus amphitrite, 832 nucleotides. RefSeq lists it as uncharacterized. The record is from RefSeq and is a predicted model, not a curated record. The transcript is spliced from 2 exons. NCBI's taxonomy places the organism in Eukaryota, Metazoa, Arthropoda, Thecostraca, Balanomorpha, Balanidae.